GUGCCAGCGCCGCGGUAAUACGGAGGGGGUUAGCGUUGUUCGGAAUUACUGGGCGUAAAGCGCACGUAGGCGGAUCAGAAAGUUGGGGGUGAAAUCCCGGGGCUCAACCCCGGAACUGCCUCCAAAACUACUGGUCUAGAGUUCGAGAGAGGUGAGUGGAAUUCCGAGUGUAGAGGUGAAAUUCGUAGAUAUUCGGAGGAACACCAGUGGCGAAGGCGGCUCACUGGCUCGAUACUGACGCUGAGGUGCGAAAGUGUGGGGAGCAAACAGGAUUAGCUACCCCUGUAGUCC
RNAcentral lists this ribosomal RNA (291 nucleotides) under uncultured bacterium. Its description in RNAcentral is "partial 16S ribosomal RNA". It matches the Rfam family "Bacterial small subunit ribosomal RNA", at positions 505 to 796 of the family's 1533-position model. The record is from RNAcentral.